This 253-nucleotide ribosomal RNA is filed under the name uncultured bacterium. Its description in RNAcentral is "partial 16S ribosomal RNA". It matches the Rfam family "Bacterial small subunit ribosomal RNA", at positions 524 to 776 of the family's 1533-position model. The record is from RNAcentral.
GACAGAGGGUGCAAACGUUAUUCGGAAUUACUGGGCUUAAAGGGUGCGUAGGCGGCGCAGUAAGUUGGGUGUGAAAUCCCUCGGCUUAACCGAGGAAUUGCGCCCAAAACUACUGUGCUCGAGGGAGAUAGAGGUGAGCGGAACUUAGGGUGGAGCGGUGAAAUGCGUUGAUAUCCUAAGGAACACCGGUGGCGAAAGCGGCUCACUGGAUCUCUUCUGACGCUGAGGCACGAAAGCGUGGGGAGCAAACAGG